RNAcentral lists this unclassified non-coding RNA (221 nucleotides) under uncultured Tomentella. Its description in RNAcentral is "sequence contains ITS2". Lineage: Eukaryota; Fungi; Basidiomycota; Agaricomycetes; Thelephorales; Thelephoraceae. The record is from RNAcentral.
ACACCUCAACUCUCAUGGUUUGCCAUGCUGAGUUUGGACUCUGGGGGUCUUGCUGGCCUAUGGUGGUCAGCUCCUCUCAAAUAGAUCAGCUUGCCAGUGUUUGGUGGUGAUGCAGGUGUGAUAACUAUCUACGCUUGUGGCUCUCCACCAGGUAACUUUCAGUCAUGGAAGUUCGCUGGAGCUAAUAAAUGUCUCUCCUCAGUGGAGACAGCUCUUUGAAU